Molecule: ribosomal RNA, 1019 nt
Filed under: uncultured bacterium
Lineage: Bacteria
Description: bacterial SSU rRNA
Rfam family: Bacterial small subunit ribosomal RNA
Source: RNAcentral
UGAGGAAUAUUGGUCAAUGGGCGUAAGCCUGAACCAGCCAAGUAGCGUGAGGGAAGACUGCCCUAUGGGUUGUAAACCUCUUUUGUGCGGGGAUAAAGUGAGGGACGUGUCCCUUAUUGCAGAUACCGCACGAAUAAGGACCGGCUAAUUCCGUGCCAGCAGCCGCGGUAAUACGGAAGGUCCGGGCGUUAUCCGGAUUUAUUGGGUUUAAAGGGAGCGCAGGCCGUCCUUUAAGCGUGCUGUGAAAUGCCGCGGCUCAACCGUGGCACUGCAGCGCGAACUGGAGGACUUGAGUACGCACGAGGUAGGCGGAAUUCGUGGUGUAGCGGUGAAAUGCUUAGAUAUCACGAAGAACUCCGAUUGCGAAGGCAGCUUACCGGAGCGCAACUGACGCUGAGGCUCGAAAGCGCGGGUAUCGAACAGGAUUAGAUACCCUGGUAGUCCGCGCGGUAAACGAUGGAUGCCCGCCGUUGGGAUUUGGAUUUCAGCGGCCAAGCGAAAGCGUUAAGCAUCCCACCUGGGGAGUACGCCGGCAACGGUGAAACUCAAAGGAAUUGACGGGGGCCCGCACAAGCGGAGGAACAUGUGGUUUAAUUCGAUGAUACGCGAGGAACCUUACCCGGGCUUGAAUUGCAGGAGAACGAUCCAGAGAUGGUGAGGCCCUUCGGGGCUCCUGUGAAGGUGCUGCAUGGUUGUCGUCAGCUCGUGCCGUGAGGUGUCGGCUCAAGUGCCAUAACGAGCGCAACCCCUGUCCAUAGUUGCCAUCAGGUCGUGCUGGGCACUCUGUGGAGACUGCCGCCGUAAGGUGUGAGGAAGGUGGGGAUGACGUCAAAUCAGCACGGCCCUUACGUCCGGGGCUACACACGUGUUACAAUGGGGCAUACAGCGAGUUGGAUGUGCGCAAGUACGUCCGGAUCAAUAAAGUGCCUCUCAGUUCGGACUGGGGUCUGCAACCCGACCCCACGAAGCUGGAUUCGCUAGUAAUCGCGCAUCAGCCAUGGCGCGGUGAAUACGUUCCC